Molecule: ribosomal RNA, 774 nt
Filed under: uncultured Neocallimastigales
Lineage: Eukaryota; Fungi; Neocallimastigomycota; Neocallimastigomycetes; Neocallimastigales
Description: partial large subunit ribosomal RNA
Rfam family: Eukaryotic large subunit ribosomal RNA
Source: RNAcentral
UACUAGAGUAGCACUCGCAUAUCAAUAAGCGGAGGAAAAGAAACUAACAAGGAUUCCCCUAGUAACGGCGAGUGAAGCGGGAAGAGCUCAAAUUUGAAAUCUUAAAGGGUUUCCCUUUACGAAUUGUAGUUUAAAGAAGUGUUUUCUGUUGAGGUUUUGGUAAAAGUUCUUUGGAAUAGGACAUCAUAGAGGGUGAGAAUCCCGUAUUUGACCUUUACUUUCAACUUUGUGAUACACUUUCAAAGAGUCGGAUUGUUUGGGAAUGCAGUCCAAAAUGGGUGGUAAAUUUCAUCUAAAGCUAAAUAUUGGCGAGAGACCGAUAGCGAACAAGUACCGUGAGGGAAAGAUGAAAAGAACUUUGAAAAGAGAGUUAAACAGUACGUGAAAUUGUCAAAAGGGAAGCGUUUGACACCAGUGUUGUUUUUCUGAAAAUCAAUUAAAGAACUGUUUAUGCUAAGUUGUUUAGACUUUAUCAGCUAACUGUUUAGUUUUGAGCUUUUCUUUAAUGCACUUUUCAGUUAACAAGUCAACAUCAAUUUCUUUUGCUGUAAAAAAGCUUGAGGAAGGUGGCUUGAGAUUCGUCUUAAGUGUUUAUAGCCUCUUGCCUAUGCAGUCGGAGAGAUUGAGGUCUGCAGCGUAGAUCCUUCGGGGCUAAAUGCAUUUGUGCUAAGUUAUAGCAUUUUAUAGACAACUUGUUGACUAUGAUUUGUCUUGUAGCUUACUCGCUUAUGUUAUUUUACCUACGCUUAGGAUGUUGAGUCAUCACACAUCUCU